Molecule: non-coding RNA, 662 nt
Organism: Poecilia reticulata (guppy)
Lineage: Eukaryota; Metazoa; Chordata; Actinopteri; Cyprinodontiformes; Poeciliidae
Source: RefSeq, a predicted model, not a curated record
CUAGAACUUGUUAGCAAUAUAAAGUAGCUAACAGCUUAAUAAUUACAAUAAUAUUAACCAAAAAAUAAUACGACCUCCAAUAUAGAAACAUAUAAUUUAUUUAUAGUUUAAUAUUUUUUCAUUAUAGCUUUUGUUGUUUAAUCUACCGAAUCUGCGUCGCGUGUGCUUCAAACAACAACUAAUUUUCCGGACUCGCUCGUGGCGGCAGCCGAAAUGAAAGUGAGCGAAGAGCAUCGAAACUUCCCGUUUCACACAAAGUCAGCUGUGUUUUGCUGUUCCGCAUCUACGACCUGUUAUGACAGGUAAGCAGACCCGUGGAACCGAGUCAGAAUUGGUGGCUGACGGACUUUUUCAUGACGAAGGCGGGGAGGAAGAAACGAUGCAGACUUGAUGUGUUUCUCUUUGAACUAAAAUGAAAGUGGAGCUCAGGUUUGUUUCCAAAUGAGCUACUAUAAAUGAAGCUCCUCGCUCCGGCCGGCUUCACAACUCCCACUGCUCAGCUGACGAAGAACCAGACAUACCUGGAAGAUGGCUGACAAAAUCAUCGUUUUCAUUGACCUGGAGGCCACUGGAUUAGAUACUUCACAGUGUGACAUCAUCCAACUGGCCGCUGUCUGUGAGGAGAGAGUCUUCAAUAAAUACACUGUCCCUCAGCAAAACAU